CCUACGGGUGGCAGCAGUGGGGAAUAUUGGACAAUGGGGGCAACCCUGAUCCAGCCAUGCCGCGUGUGUGAAGAAGGCCCUCGGGUUGUAAAGCACUUUCAGUGAGGAAGAACGCCUGGUGGUUAAUACCCAUCAGGAAAGACAUCACUCACAGAAGAAGCACCGGCUAACUCCGUGCCAGCAGCCGCGGUAAUACGGAGGGUGCGAGCGUUAAUUGGAAUUACUGGGCGUAAAGCGCGCGUAGGUGGCUUGAUAAGCCGGUUGUGAAAGCCCCGGGCUCAACCUGGGAACGGCAUCCGGAACUGUCAAGCUAGAGUGCAGGAGAGGAAGGUAGAAUUCCCGGUGUAGCAGUGAAAUGCGUAGAGAUCGGGAGGAAUACCAGUGGCGAAGGCGGCCUUCUGGACUGACACUGACACUGAGGUGCGAAAGCGUGGGUAGCAAACAGGAUUAGAUACCCUAGUAGUC
RNAcentral lists this ribosomal RNA (465 nucleotides) under Vreelandella stevensii. RNAcentral's name for it is "partial 16S ribosomal RNA". It matches the Rfam family "Bacterial small subunit ribosomal RNA", at positions 338 to 795 of the family's 1533-position model. The record is from RNAcentral. Lineage: Bacteria; Pseudomonadati; Pseudomonadota; Gammaproteobacteria; Oceanospirillales; Halomonadaceae.